This is a non-coding RNA of Ictidomys tridecemlineatus (thirteen-lined ground squirrel), 72 nucleotides long. Lineage: Eukaryota; Metazoa; Chordata; Mammalia; Rodentia; Sciuridae. The record is from Rfam.
UGGGCUGGGGCUCAGUGGCAGAGCGCUCGCCUAGCACGCGUGAGGCCCUGGGUUUGAUCCUCAGCACCACAU